RNAcentral lists this non-coding RNA (186 nucleotides) under Dryobates pubescens (Downy woodpecker). Its description in RNAcentral is "Picoides pubescens (downy woodpecker) Eukaryotic large subunit ribosomal RNA". It matches the Rfam family "Eukaryotic large subunit ribosomal RNA", at positions 2674 to 2802 of the family's 3401-position model. Lineage: Eukaryota; Metazoa; Chordata; Aves; Piciformes; Picidae. The record is from Rfam by way of RNAcentral.
UCAGCUGACAGCAUGUCUGGCUAUGCACAAUGCUAAUAUGCUUAAAUUCAGCGGGUCGCCACGUCUGAUCUGAGGUCGCAUGGAGCAGAAGGGCAAAAGCUCGCUUGAUCUUGAUUUUCAGUACGAAUACAGACCGUGAAAGCGGGGCCUCACGAUCCUUCUGGCUUUUUGGGUUUUAAGCAGGAG